RNAcentral lists this ribosomal RNA (253 nucleotides) under uncultured bacterium. RNAcentral's name for it is "partial 16S ribosomal RNA". It matches the Rfam family "Bacterial small subunit ribosomal RNA", at positions 524 to 776 of the family's 1533-position model. The record is from RNAcentral.
UACGUAGGGUGCAAGCGUUAUCCGGAAUUAUUGGGCGUAAAGAGCUCGUAGGCGGUUUGUCACGUCUGCUGUGAAAACUGGAGGCUCAACCUCCAGCCUGCAGUGGGUACGGGCAGACUAGAGUGCGGUAGGGGAGAUUGGAAUUCCUGGUGUAGCGGUGGAAUGCGCAGAUAUCAGGAGGAACACCGGUGGCGAAGGCGGCAUCCUGGACCAAUUCUGACGCUGAGGAGCGAAAGCCAGGGGAGCAAACGGG